RNAcentral lists this ribosomal RNA (1346 nucleotides) under uncultured bacterium. Its description in RNAcentral is "partial 16S ribosomal RNA". It matches the Rfam family "Bacterial small subunit ribosomal RNA", at positions 28 to 1381 of the family's 1533-position model. The record is from RNAcentral.
GACGAACGCUGGCGGCGUGCUUAACACAUGCAAGUCGAACGGAAAGGCCCUGCUUUUGUGGGGUGCUCGAGUGGCGAACGGGUGAGUAACACGUGAGUAACCUGCCCUUGACUUUGGGAUAACUUCAGGAAACUGGGGCUAAUACCGGAUAGGAGCUCCUGCUGCAUGGUGGGGGUUGGAAAGUUUCGGCGGUUGGGGAUGGACUCGCGGCUUAUCAGCUUGUUGGUGGGGUAGUGGCUUACCAAGGCUUUGACGGGUAGCCGGCCUGAGAGGGUGACCGGCCACAUUGGGACUGAGAUACGGCCCAGACUCCUACGGGAGGCAGCAGUGGGGAAUAUUGCACAAUGGGCGGAAGCCUGAUGCAGCAACGCCGCGUGCGGGAUGACGGCCUUCGGGUUGUAAACCGCUUUCGCCUGUGACGAAGCGUGAGUGACGGUAAUGGGUAAAGAAGCACCGGCUAACUACGUGCCAGCAGCCGCGGUGAUACGUAGGGUGCGAGCGUUGUCCGGAUUUAUUGGGCGUAAAGGGCUCGUAGGUGGUUGAUCGCGUCGGAAGUGUAAUCUUGGGGCUUAACCCUGAGCGUGCUUUCGAUACGGGUUGACUUGAGGAAGGUAGGGGAGAAUGGAAUUCCUGGUGGAGCGGUGGAAUGCGCAGAUAUCAGGAGGAACACCAGUGGCGAAGGCGGUUCUCUGGGCCUUUCCUGACGCUGAGGAGCGAAAGCGUGGGGAGCGAACAGGCUUAGAUACCCUGGUAGUCCACGCUGUAAACGGUGGGUACUAGGUGUGGGGUCCAUUCCACGGGUUCCGUGCCGUAGCUAACGCUUUAAGUACCCCGCCUGGGGAGUACGGCCGCAAGGCUAAAACUCAAAGGAAUUGACGGGGCCCCGCACAAGCGGCGGAGCAUGCGGAUUAAUUCGAUGCAACGCGUAGAACCUUACCUGGGUUUGACAUGGAUCGGGAGUGCUCAGAGAUGGGUGUGCCUCUUUUGGGGUCGGUUCACAGGUGGUGCAUGCCUGUCGUCAGCUCGUGUCGUGAGAUGCUGGGUUAAGUCCCGCAACGAGCGCAACCCUUGUUCACUGUUGCCAGCACGUUAUGGUGGGGACUCAGUGGAGACCGCCGGGGUCAACUCGGAGGAAGGUGGGGAUGACGUCAAGUCAUCAUGCCCCUUAUGUCCAGGGCUUCACGCAUGCUACAAUGGCUGGUACAGAGAGUGGCGAGCCUGUGAGGGUGAGCGAAUCUCGGAAAGCCGGUCUCAGUUCGGAUUGGGGUCUGCAACUCGACCUCAUGAAGUCGGAGUCGCUAGUAAUCGCAGAUCAGCAACGCUGCGGUGAAAACGUUCCCGGGGCU